This 1669-nucleotide ribosomal RNA is filed under the name Acentrogobius viridipunctatus (spotted green goby). RNAcentral's name for it is "16S ribosomal RNA". It matches the Rfam family "Bacterial large subunit ribosomal RNA". The record is from RNAcentral. Lineage: Eukaryota; Metazoa; Chordata; Actinopteri; Gobiiformes; Gobiidae.
AGCCCACCCAAAUGAUUUAACAACCAACAUUAAUAACCCAACAACAACUAAACCAUGUGAAACAAACCAUUUUUCCCCCUAAGUAUGGGAGACAGAAAAGGAACACUCAGGCGCCAUAGAAAAAGUACCGCAAGGGAAAGCUGAAAGAGAACUGAAAAAACCCAGUAAAGGAAAUAAAAGCAGAGACUCAACCUCGUACCUUUUGCAUCAUGAUUUAGCAAGCACUCUCCAAGCAAAGAGCCCUUUAUGUUUGAGCCCCCGAAAUUAAGCGAGCUACUCCAAGACAGCCUAUUAUAGGGCACACCCGUCUCUGUGGCAAAAGAGUGGGAAGAGCUUCGAGUAGAGGUGACAGACCUACCGAGCUUAAUUAUAGCUGGUUGCCUAGGAACUGAAUAGAAGUUCAGCCUUUUAGAUUCUCCAACCUACAAGGGUCACACCCAGCCCCGGCCCAGAGAUAACUAAAAGAGUUAUUUGAGAAAGGGACAGCUCUCUCAAAACAAGACACAACUUUACAAAGCAGGAAAAAGAUCAAAAGGUCAAAGGAAACGUACCUAAGUGGGCCUAAAAGCAGCCACCCCUGAAGAAAGCGUUAAAGCUCAAGUAUACAAACCCGACAAUUCCGACAAAAACAUCUUAAACUCCUUAACCUACUAGGCCCACCCAUGCAACCCUGGGUAAGAUCAUGCUAAAAUGAGUAAUAAGAGGGUCCCGCCCCUCUCAAGCGCACCCGUGUAAAUCAGAACGAACCCCCACUGAAAAUUAACGCCCCCAACUCCCAGAGGGUAAUGAGCCAAAACACUACAAACAAGAAAACCUCUCAACCCCGAGCGUUAACCCAACACAGGAAUGCCCCCUUGAAAGACAAAAAGAAGAAGAAGGAACUCGGCAAACAUUAGCCUCGCCUGUUUACCAAAAACAUCGCCUCUUGCCCCCAUAAUAUAAGAGGUCCCGCCUGCCCUGUGACCAAAAGUUUAACGGCCGCGGUAUUUUGACCGUGCGAAGGUAGCGUAAUCACUUGUCUUUUAAAUAGAGACCUGUAUGAAUGGCAUAACGAGGGCUAAGCUGUCUCCUUCCUCCAGUCAAUGAAAUUGAUCUACCCGUGCAGAAGCGGGUAUAAUUACAUAAGACGAGAAGACCCUAUGGAGCUUCAGACAACAGGACAGACCACGUUAAAACCCCUCAUUUUACCAGGAAAAAACCAGCUGGCCCCUGCCCUACUGUCUUUGGUUGGGGCGACCGCGGGGAAACGAAAAACCCCCACGUGGAACGGGAUUCACCCCUAAAGCCAGAGCCACAGCUCUAACAAACAGAACAUCUGACCAUAAAUGAUCCGGCAAUGCCGAUCAACGGACCGAGUUACCCUAGGGAUAACAGCGCAAUCCCCUUCUAGAGCCCAUAUCGACAAGGGGGUUUACGACCUCGAUGUUGGAUCAGGACCCCCUAAUGGUGCAGCCGCUAUUAAGGGUUCGUUUGUUCAACGAUUAAAGUCCUACGUGAUCUGAGUUCAGACCGGAGAAAUCCAGGUCAGUUUCUAUCUAUGAUAUUGCUCCUCCCUAGUACGAAAGGACCGGGAAGAGAGGGCCCAUGCUCUAAGCAAGCCCCACCCUCACCCAAUGAUACCCACUAAAACGGGUAAAAGGGCAUACCACGCCUGCCUGAGAAAAAGGCA